RNAcentral lists this long non-coding RNA (319 nucleotides) under Homo sapiens (human). RNAcentral's name for it is "non-protein coding lnc-GAS1-1:3". Lineage: Eukaryota; Metazoa; Chordata; Mammalia; Primates; Hominidae. The record is from RNAcentral.
AGUGUGUGUUGGUGUAAGACACCUGGUAUCUUUAGGCAGCAUGAGUCCUUUGUAAUUACUACAGGUUCUGCAAAGAACUAUUACUCUUGGCAAGGACUUUAUUGACAUUCCCUUUAGCAAACAGAGACUCGGUGAUGUUCACGGCCACCAGCUCUCAGGAAAGGCUGUUGUGGGCAGCAACACAGCUGGACAUUCCUUUGCUUACUGAUGGGAGAUUCAUAAGGAUACUUGCUCUUGGAGCCCACCUGCCCUGCUGGGAGGUGCUGGGAACACCUGGAGAGCCAUGUGCAGCUGUGUGGCCAGCAAUCCCAGCUUUGUU